Molecule: long non-coding RNA, 808 nt
Organism: Chelonus insularis
Lineage: Eukaryota; Metazoa; Arthropoda; Insecta; Hymenoptera; Braconidae
Exons: 3
Source: RefSeq, a predicted model, not a curated record
GCCAGUUUCGCAGUGAGUGCGGUAGUGAUCUCAUCUUCGUCCUCUGGUGUUCUUUCACUGUCUGUGUUACUCUUCAUCAAGCUAACGUAAAGCAUGAAGAGAACCAAGUCCAUCAUCAUCAUCAACAAUGUUCUUCAAAAGACUACCAACUGUCGAUCGAAUUAUUAUCCAGAAAAUAACCUUACUUAAGGACGAGUGAUGCAAUAGGAGAAUGACCAUUUUUUUACUGCGUGACGAGCAAGGCAAGUCAAAUAAUCUGUAGUUUAAAAAUGUACAAGACGUCGUCAAUUCUAAUAACGGAAUGCUGAGUGCAAACAACACACGUUAGCCAAGCCAGUGGUCAGCUUAUCAUUCUUUUGAUGAUGAUGAUGGUGAUGAUGAAAUAUCAGCAAUGAAAAUAUUAAAUACUAAUGAUAAUUGUAUACGGAUCAUGUAUGACGUCAAACUUUUAAUAGAUAUACUUUGGAGUAUCCAUGAAAUUUUUUUAAAAUUCAUAUUCAUUCGAUAAUUAUUAUUUUUACUGUAUUGGAAAGAACUUUGAUCUAAUGGUUGAUUUAUUGAAAAAAUGAAUGUUUGUAAAAUCAAUAAUUGAAUCUAUUUGUAAUCUUAGAUUAUCUGAUGCUUCAUAAAUUUUUACUGGGAAACAUGAUUUUACCAUCUUAUUCAAUGGAAUUAUCAAUGAAUCAUUUACCUGAUUCACUCAUCACAUUAAAAGUCAGACGGAAUUACUGUUGAUUAUAUGUAUUACAUUGAAUACUAUUAUAAAGAAAUCAAAAAAUAGUUCAUUAUUUGUAAUAACAUUGAAUGA